This is a long non-coding RNA of Pan troglodytes (chimpanzee), 404 nucleotides long. RefSeq lists it as uncharacterized. The transcript has 2 exons. The record is from RefSeq and is a predicted model, not a curated record. NCBI's taxonomy places the organism in Eukaryota, Metazoa, Chordata, Mammalia, Primates, Hominidae.
CAUAUCUAUUCUUGUACCAUAUCUAUUUUCUUAUUUACAGAUAUAGUAUGAGGCCCACAACAGUUGCUUAUGUUCAUAAGCAAUAAGAGCUAGGAUUUCAACCCAAAGACUGCCAUCAAGUCUCACAGCUUUCUUUUUGUUGAAAAAAAGGGGGCAUGGAGUAGAGGAAGAAGCAAGCAGAAGAAAUGAGGAGAAGCUAGAGAAAGAAGAAAAAAAUGGGAUUCUUUCUACUGAAAUUUCUAAAUGUGGAACUCAUUGUCUGUACUGGCUUUGAGGCAGAAAAAAAAAACCUAAGAGUUUAAAUAUUUGUUGAAGUCUGGAUUUCUCCCUGCACCCGUCCCCCCAUUCCCUCUAGUAAAAUUAAAGCUGAAGCUAGCAGUUCAUGUCUAGCUCUUGAAAUGUCA